CAAGAGAUGGACACAGCCAGUUAGGGGAUGGAACGGAAUUUACAAAGGUGGGAAGGGCAUGGGAGGAUGGGAAGGUGGGAUCCGCGUGCCCGGGAUCUUCCACUGGCCCGGGGUGCUCCCAGCCGGCCGAGUGAUUGGAGAGCCCACGAGCCUGAUGGACGUGUUCCCUACUGUGGUCCAGCUGGUGGGUGGCGAGGUGCCCCAGGACAGGUACGUGGAGAUAAGGCUGCCUGUUCCCUGAU
Molecule: long non-coding RNA, 242 nt
Filed under: Pan troglodytes (chimpanzee)
Lineage: Eukaryota; Metazoa; Chordata; Mammalia; Primates; Hominidae
Description: long non-coding RNA NONPTRT018418
Source: RNAcentral